Molecule: ribosomal RNA, 473 nt
Filed under: uncultured bacterium
Lineage: Bacteria
Description: SSU rRNA
Rfam family: Bacterial small subunit ribosomal RNA
Source: RNAcentral
GGAACGAACGCUGGCGGCAUGCCUAACACAUGCAAGUCGAACGCUUGCCGAGGCUUCGGUUUCGGCAGGAGUGGCGCACGGGUGAGUAGCGCGUGGGAACCUGCCUUGGAGUGGGGGACAACCGAGGGAAACUUCGGCUAAUACCGCAUACGCCGGUUGUCUUGCAAGAGAUGGCCGGGAAAGAUUUAUCGCUCCGAGAGGGGCCCGCGUCGGAUUAGGUAGUUGGCGGGGUAACGGCCCACCAAGCCUGUGAUCCGUAGCUGGUCUGAGAGGAUGAUCAGCCACACUGGGACUGAGACACGGCCCAGACUCCUACGGGAGGCAGCAGUGGGGAAUAUUGGACAAUGGGCGCAAGCCUGAUCCAGCAAUGCCGCGUGAGUGAUGAAGGCCUUCGGGUUGUAAAGCUCUUUCGCCCGCGACGAUGAUGACGGUAGCGGGAGAAGAAGCCCGGCUAACUUCGUGCCAGCAGCCGC